RNAcentral lists this long non-coding RNA (1535 nucleotides) under Nicotiana benthamiana. RNAcentral describes it as "long non-coding RNA (NBEN_LNC021790)". Lineage: Eukaryota; Viridiplantae; Streptophyta; Magnoliopsida; Solanales; Solanaceae. The record is from RNAcentral.
UUCAGGUACCAACUUCUAAAUGCAUUCAUAGUAUCCGGUCCACAAAGGUUCAUCUCCAAGGAUCCUCUCUUCAUUGGCAUAAAACAGUUCUAGGUUCAAAACAAGUCCAGCUGCAUGCAAAGGGCUAUGGAGCUUACUAUCCCACCUUUUAUCUAUGAUCUCAAAGACUCUUUUGUAUUUUCUUUGAUCACUAAAAGAGUCGAGAAUAGCCUCUUUUGCCCUAUCAAUUGCUGUGUACAAGUAGCCCAUUGGUGGCCUUUCUCCCCAUCCAACAAAUGAAGCACUUUGACUAAAGGACCACCAAUCUUCAAUGCAUGAACCACAUUGUUCCAGAAUGAAGUAGAAAGAAUAAUAUCUGCAGAUUCUCUCGCUCGAGCUUCCCUUCCAUAGGCACUGCUAGUGUACUCUUCUGAAACAAACAACUUCUUGAAAUUGCCUUUUUGCUCAUACAUCCUAGCCAAAGUCAAGAAAGCAGUAGCAAAUCUUGUCUUUGCAGGUUUCACCAAGCUUCUUUGUUGAGUGAAUCUCUUCAUCAUCAAUAAUAAAGGCCUUUGAACAAUAUAUGAAUGCACUCUAACUGUCUGAUUAAAGAAUGUACUGAAGGAUCUUUCCGUGAAAAUAUCACCAAAGAUCAAAUUAACAGAAUGUGCUGCACAAGGAGUCCAAUAGAUAUGCGGGUACGCAGUAGACAUCAAAUCACCAGCUUUAACAUUUUCACUGGCGUUGUCCGUGACAACUUGAACAACAUUUUCUGCUCCAAUAGAGUCUAUUGUAUUCUUGAACAAUGAGUAUAUUUUGGUUUGAAUCAGUUUAAGAGUCACUUGCAUCAACGGACUCAAGAAACAAGCUUCCAUUAGGAGAAUUCACCUAGAUAUUGAUGAUCAUUUUUCCAUUUCUCACCGCCCACUUAUCCAUCAUAAUGGAACAACCAAACUUGUUCCAUUGUACUUUGUGCUCCUCCACGAUUUUGUUAACCUCUGCCACCUUUUUUUUUAAUAUUUGCUCCAAUAGAAUCUAUUGUACUCUUGAACAAGGAGUACAUUUUGGUUGACUCAAGAAACAGGCUUCCCUUAGGAGAAUUCACCAAGAUAUUGAUGAUCAUUUUUCCAUUUCUCGCCAUCCAUUUAUCCAUCAUUAUGGAACAACCAAACUUGUUCCAUUCUACUUUGUGCUCCUCCACGAUUUUGUUCGCCUCUUCCACCUCCUUUUUUAGAUAUGGGCCACUAACUUCAUAAUAAGUUGGAGGCUUCAUUCCUGAACCAUAUUGGCCUACAACCUCAAUAAAAGCAACAAAAGUGUCCGUAUAAUUAACACAAUUAAAAGGAAGACCUGCAUCAUACAUCCACCGGGCAAAGCAGGAAACUGCACGGUCCCUCAAAAUCGCUUUUGCAUCAACUUGAGGAUGUCCACUUAUCCAUCAUAAUAGAACAACCAUACUUGUCUCAUUCUACUUUGUGCUCCUCCACGAUUUUGUUCACCUCUGCCACCUCUUUUUGUAGAUAUGGCCACUAACUUCAUAAUAAGUUGGAGGCUUC